This 1429-nucleotide long non-coding RNA is filed under the name Nicotiana benthamiana. Its description in RNAcentral is "long non-coding RNA (NBEN_LNC012298)". The record is from RNAcentral. Lineage: Eukaryota; Viridiplantae; Streptophyta; Magnoliopsida; Solanales; Solanaceae.
GGUGAAAAUAAAAUUGGACAGGAGCUAUUUUACAUGCUAUCAGGCUACAUGGUUUUCCAAGUUCAAAAUUUUAAAAGACAUUUAAAAAAAGGAAAACGUUCCUUCAUAUACUUUGUUUUGAAGAGAUUAGAAGACAUUAAAAAAGGAAAACGUUCCUUCAUAAACUUUGUUUUGACGAGAUUAAAAUGGAAAGAGAAAAAGCAAGUUUAGCAAACUUCUCCAACUUUAACCAAGUACUGAAGAACAUAUGUAAAUUCACAACUUAUGAACAUACAUAUGUAAAUUCAUCAAAACUACGACAAGCUAGUUCACGACUUCAAUACUGUUUCCUAGUUAGCAUAAGCUAUUACACUGCUAUGGGCUAUAUUGUUAAUUUCUAACAAAAGAUUUCAAAUGACAAUGGCAUGUUCUUCUGCAGCGAAAAUCAUCAAAGAGAACACAAGAUAAAGAAAAAGAAACACUUCUUCCCAAAGUCCUCCAGUCACUCUUUCAGCGGCCGCUCUUUGAGAUAAAGAGUGAUAUAGACAACGGAGAGGAAGUCAUCAAGAUUUUUCAGUUUCUUCUCUCUUCGUUAGAUCUCUGUGCCAUUUUAUGCAGCAUAGUUUAGCUGGGCACGGAGUUUAAGAAAGAAAGACUUUGAAACUUGUGGUCGAAAACAAACCAAAAAUAUUUGUGUGGCUAUAUAUUAUCUCAUUAAGGGUGAAAUGGAUAAGCUUAAAGUCAAAUGGUUUCUAAAGAUAGAAAGGGGUCAUUCCUUCUCAAAUAUAGAAAGGGGCCCUUCUUUUUAUAACAACUUAAAAAGGAAAGUUCGCCACAUAAAUGAACGGAGGAGAGUAGUGCCAUUUCUACCGCUAUAAUUGUUUUAUUUAAUUAGCUAUUGACAUCCAUUACUGGAUUUUUCUUUCUUGUUUCCUUCCUAAUGUUUUCAUCAUUUAGGGAAGAGAAGCCAGUCGAAUUCCUCGAACUUGGGGGAGGUGCACCCAGCCCAUAGGUAAUCAAGUAAAAUAAUCAAAAUAUAGAGAAAGAUUUAUCUAGAAAGGCAAAGCAUGUAAAACGAAGCAUGAGAAACUAUCUAGUAAGUAUGUGCUGAUACCAUAAGUUCUCAAAUUGAAUGAACUUUGACCACUAAAAGCAACCAAGUAUUUCAGUUGACAAAGAUGACAUUUAAUUCUGUAAACCCAACUAAAGCAACUCCAGAUUAGAUGGGAUAUCAAGGGCAUUAAAAGUGAAAUAAAUUAGAACUAAGAUAUGCCUAUUUAGGCAACAAAAACGAAAAAUGAUAAGCAAUGGAAUAAAACUUAACUUAGUUGGACCAGACAGUUCGUUUUGACAGGUUGAAACAAAUAGUCAAUAAUUAAAUACAGGCAUGUUACAACAACAACAACAACCCAGUAUAAUCCCACUUAGUGGGGUCUGGGGAGGGUAGUGU